This 402-nucleotide ribosomal RNA is filed under the name uncultured Acidovorax sp. Its description in RNAcentral is "bacterial SSU rRNA". It matches the Rfam family "Bacterial small subunit ribosomal RNA", at positions 976 to 1382 of the family's 1533-position model. The record is from RNAcentral. Lineage: Bacteria; Pseudomonadati; Pseudomonadota; Betaproteobacteria; Burkholderiales; Comamonadaceae.
CACCUUUGACAUGUACGGAAUCCUUUAGAGAUAGAGGAGUGCUCGAAAGAGAGCCGUAACACAGGUGCUGCAUGGCUGUCGUCAGCUCGUGUCGUGAGAUGUUGGGUUAAGUCCCGCAACGAGCGCAACCCUUGCCAUUAGUUGCUACGAAAGGGCACUCUAAUGGGACUGCCGGUGACAAACCGGAGGAAGGUGGGGAUGACGUCAAGUCCUCAUGGCCCUUAUAGGUGGGGCUACACACGUCAUACAAUGGCUGGUACAGAGGGUUGCCAACCCGCGAGGGGGAGCUAAUCCCAUAAAGCCAGUCGUAGUCCGGAUCGCAGUCUGCAACUCGACUGCGUGAAGUCGGAAUCGCUAGUAAUCGCGGAUCAGAAUGUCGCGGUGAAUACGUUCCCGGGUCUU